CACCAUGAAGCCUUUUAAGGUAUGCAGUCGGUCUUGAAACAGAGCAAAGCAAGAUGGAAGAUCAACGUGGCUUGGGAAGUUGGGUUGAGGAACAGAUAAUAAUUGACGGUGCUUCCCAUUCCAGCAGCAGCCCUCCGCUCAAAUAACAACGCCCAAGCCUACUUGGACCAAAUCAUUCGCAAACUGACACCAAGCCACAGAACAGGCGAUGGAGUGCUCACGUUUAAUCGGGGCGGCAAGGCGUUGCAGCUGUUUUGUCGGCAGACCCACCUCGUGGACCAUCAUCGGCAGACCGUCAUCAAGGGAAAAACGAGACGUGUGCGUGAUACAUCCAUCACUGGCCGUGGGCACAUCACAGUCGCUCUUGUUUCUUCGUGUAUGGAUUGGUGACAGGGGAAGACUUUUGUUGGAUGAGAGGUGAGGGAAGAAAUGUUGGGCAUGUUCGAACAUCCUCUUAGUAUUAGUCUAUCGCAGUUCUCACGCUAGUGGCAGAACCAUGCGCAGUGUUUCCGGACCCUAACUACACCACCGAUUACUCAUAGUAGCCACUACUGCCCACAGUGCUCAGCCUGCGACCAGCCGUAAAACCCAGCCCUACCAGAGGCGCAUCCCAAUUCAAGCGGAUCUUGAAGAUGAACGAGAUUCAUGGCUUACUUAUCAGUAUAGAUCUCAUUCCUAAGGACCCAAGGACCCAAGGACCCAAGGAGAAACUCUAGGCAAUCUACCAAUAGAGGGUUGUUUCGCUUCUAGAGUCACCAAAAUGCCUACGUACCGGAAUCCGUUCGCAGUAAUCAUUGGUCUCUGUUGUUUUCAACUCCUUGAAGUAGCCUCAUGCACUGCUAUUUUACGCUCAUCCUGAUGAUCUGUGCUUUUUCUUCCCUUCACACCCUCGUCAUGUUAUUGGGCAGGAUUAUCUGUUUGAGUGACGAUGUACGUGUGCACCGUAAACUUACUCCCCAAGCUCA
Sycon ciliatum is the source of this 965-nucleotide long non-coding RNA. RefSeq lists it as uncharacterized. Lineage: Eukaryota; Metazoa; Porifera; Calcarea; Leucosolenida; Sycettidae. The transcript is spliced from 2 exons. The record is from RefSeq and is a predicted model, not a curated record.